RNAcentral lists this ribosomal RNA (253 nucleotides) under uncultured bacterium. Its description in RNAcentral is "partial 16S ribosomal RNA". It matches the Rfam family "Bacterial small subunit ribosomal RNA", at positions 524 to 776 of the family's 1533-position model. The record is from RNAcentral.
UACGGGGGGAGCAAGCGUUGUUCGGAUUUACUGGGCGUAAAGGGCGCGUAGGCGGCGCAACAAGUCACUUGUGAAAUCUCCGGGCUUAACCCGGAGCGGCCAAGUGAUACUGCCGGGCUAGAGUCCGGAAGAGGCGAGUGGAAUUCCUGGUGUAGCGGUGGAAUGCGCAGAUAUCAGGAGGAACACCAACGGCGAAGGCAGCUCGCUGGGACGGUACUGACACUGAGGCGCGAAAGCGUGGGGAGCGAACAGG